GUCCAGACUCCUACGGGAGGCAGCAGUGGGGAAUAUUGCACAAUGGGGGAAACCCUGAUGCAGCGACGCCGCGUGAGUGAAGAAGUAUUUCGGGAUGUAAAGCUCUCUCAGCAGGGAAGAAAAUGACGGUACCUGAUUAAGAAGCCCCGGCUAACUACGUGCCAGCAGCCGCGGUAAUACGUAGGGGGCAAGCGUUAUCCGGAUUUACUGGGUGUAAAGGGAGCGUAGACGGCAGCACAAGUCUGGAGUGAAAGGCCGGGGCUUACCCCCGAAACUGCUUUGGAAACUGGGCAGCUAGAGUGCAGGAGAGGUAAGUGGAAUUCCUAGUGUAGCGGUGAAAUGCGUAGAUAUUAGGAGGAACACCAGUGGCGAAGGCGGCUUACUGGACUGUAACUGACGUUGAGGCUCGAAAGCGUGGGGAGCAAACAGGAUUAGAUACCCCCGUAU
Molecule: ribosomal RNA, 447 nt
Filed under: uncultured bacterium
Lineage: Bacteria
Description: bacterial SSU rRNA
Rfam family: Bacterial small subunit ribosomal RNA
Source: RNAcentral